This 266-nucleotide ribosomal RNA is filed under the name uncultured bacterium. RNAcentral describes it as "partial 16S ribosomal RNA". It matches the Rfam family "Bacterial small subunit ribosomal RNA", at positions 107 to 353 of the family's 1533-position model. The record is from RNAcentral.
UAGAGUAACACGUAAACAACCUGCCUUCAGGAUGGGGACAACAGACGGAAACGACUGCUAAUACCGAAUAAGUUCCAAGAGCCGCAUGGCCCAUGGAAGAAAAGGUGGCCUCUACCUGUAAGCUAUCGCCUGAAGAGGGGUUUGCGUCUGAUUAGCUGGUUGGAGGGGUAACGGCCCACCAAGGCGACGAUCAGUAGCCGGUCUGAGAGGAUGAACGGCCACACUGGAACUGAAACACGGUCCAGACUCCUACGGGAGGCAGCAUG